UACGUGUUCAUGGUGGCAUAGAUUGUGGUUGAUGGAGAGAAUAAGAAGACUUGGGUUUGGUUUCAGAAGCUAAUAGUGCUGAUACAUGUAUAGAGAUUGGGGAAUGGAGCCGGAAUCACUAUAGUUUCUGACUUGCAGAAGAGCUUAUAACCUACUUAGUGACGAAGAAAUUCCUGUAGCGGAGCACAGGUGGCGUGGUCGACACUCAUUUUCGAACUGGAAGGAAUUGUCUCGAUGGAUACCUUCACCAUGCAACAUUUCUUCUCUUGCUGGUAUUCAAGAUUUAAAAUCAAUAAUAAUAAUUAAGGGACUAAAAUUUACGGGUGAAAAGUUUUAGUUUUGAAUACAUGUGGUGUGGAAGAAAGGGUGCGUCAUAUCGAGUGUCCAAUAAUGGUGACCUAACACCUGCAGAAUAAAGUCCAGAUUCUUUAGUUAACAAAAAAUAAAAUUAAA
RNAcentral lists this unclassified non-coding RNA (453 nucleotides) under Hevea brasiliensis (rubber tree). The record is from RNAcentral. Lineage: Eukaryota; Viridiplantae; Streptophyta; Magnoliopsida; Malpighiales; Euphorbiaceae.